This 448-nucleotide ribosomal RNA is filed under the name uncultured bacterium. RNAcentral describes it as "bacterial SSU rRNA". It matches the Rfam family "Bacterial small subunit ribosomal RNA", at positions 330 to 795 of the family's 1533-position model. The record is from RNAcentral.
ACCAGACUCCUACGGGAGGCAGCAGUGGGGAAUAUUGCACAAUGGGGGAAACCCUGAUGCAGCAACGCCGCGUGAGUGAAGAAGUAUUUCGGUAUGUAAAGCUCUAUCAGCAGGGAAGAGAAUGACGGUACCUGACUAAGAAGCCCCGGCUAACUACGUGCCAGCAGCCGCGGUAAUACGUAGGGGGCGAGCGUUAUCCGGAUUUACUGGGUGUAAAGGGCGUGCAGCCGGGAAGACAAGUCAGAUGUGAAAUCCCGCGGCUCAACCGCGGAACUGCAUUUGAAACUGUUUUUCUUGAGUACCGGAGAGGUCAUCGGAAUUCCUUGUGUAGCGGUGAAAUGCGUAGAUAUAAGGAAGAACACCAGUGGCGAAGGCGGAUGACUGGACGGCAACUGACGGUGAGGCGCGAAAGCGUGGGGAGCAAACAGGAUUAGAUACCCGCGUAGCC